UCUUCAACUCACUUUAAUUAGAGAAUCCUUUGUGCAUAGUUCUUUUCUUGCUUGGAGAUAAGUAAUAUCUUAAGUUUAGUGUUGUGAUGCAUGAGCAUAUUUAGUUGUUUUCUUUAUUAUUUCCUUGAAUAAAGUUAGUGAUUUCCUUAUUUUAAUUGAGAUUUUUUUUUUUUUAUGCUUUAAUC
Arachis ipaensis is the source of this 185-nucleotide non-coding RNA. NCBI's taxonomy places the organism in Eukaryota, Viridiplantae, Streptophyta, Magnoliopsida, Fabales, Fabaceae. The record is from RefSeq and is a predicted model, not a curated record.